Molecule: unclassified non-coding RNA, 16 nt
Filed under: synthetic RNA
Description: RNA (5'-R(P*UP*CP*UP*UP*UP*UP*AP*UP*UP*UP*UP*UP*UP*CP*UP*G)-3') from synthetic RNA (PDB 7NKY, chain P)
Source: RNAcentral
UCUUUUAUUUUUUCUG